GGGUUCUACCGUUGGUCAGGCUAUAGUCUGUACUGGCGUGUGGAAUUUCUACCUUCUGGGGAACUAUCAUGUUAUUAAUUUAGCGUGGUAGGAAACCAGAACCUUUACCUUGAAAAAAUUAGAGUGUUCAAAGCAGGCAAUCGAGCCUUGAAUACUUCAGCAUGGGAUAAUGGAACAGGA
Molecule: ribosomal RNA, 180 nt
Filed under: uncultured Glomeromycotina
Lineage: Eukaryota; Fungi; Glomeromycota
Description: partial small subunit ribosomal RNA
Rfam family: Eukaryotic small subunit ribosomal RNA (bases 44-180)
Source: RNAcentral